GAUGAACGCUGGCGGCGUGCCUAAUACAUGCAAGUCGAGCGAACAGACGAGGAGCUUGCUCCUCUGACGUUAGCGGCGGACGGGUGAGUAACACGUGGAUAACCUACCUAUAAGACUGGGAUAACUUCGGGAAACCGGAGCUAAUACCGGAUAAUAUAUUGAACCGCAUGGUCCAAUAGUGAAAGACGGUUUUGCUGUCACUUAUAGAUGGAUCCGCGCCGCAUUAGCUAGUUGGUAAGGUAACGGCUUACCAAGGCAACGAUGCGUAGCCGACCUGAGAGGGUGAUCGGCCACACUGGAACUGAGACACGGUCCAGACUCCUACGGGAGGCAGCAGUAGGGAAUCUUCCGCAAUGGGCGAAAGCCUGACGGAGUAACGCCGCGUGAGUGAUGAAGGUCUUCGGAUCGUAAAACUCUGUUAUUAGGGAAGAACAAAUGUGUAAGUAACUAUGCACGUCUUGACGGUACCUAAUCAGAAAGCCACGGCUAACUACGUG
RNAcentral lists this ribosomal RNA (497 nucleotides) under uncultured bacterium. RNAcentral's name for it is "partial 16S ribosomal RNA". It matches the Rfam family "Bacterial small subunit ribosomal RNA", at positions 28 to 507 of the family's 1533-position model. The record is from RNAcentral.